RNAcentral lists this ribosomal RNA (465 nucleotides) under uncultured bacterium. Its description in RNAcentral is "partial 16S ribosomal RNA". It matches the Rfam family "Bacterial small subunit ribosomal RNA", at positions 28 to 507 of the family's 1533-position model. The record is from RNAcentral.
GACGAACGCUGGCGGCGUGCUUAACACAUGCAAGUCGAACGGAAAGGCCCCUUUGGGGGUACUCGAGUGGCGAACGGGUGAGUAACACGUGAGUAACCUGCCCUUGACUUCGGGAUAACUUCAGGAAACUGGGGCUAAUACCGGAUAGGAAUCCUUGCUGCAUGGUGGGGGUUGGAAAGCUUCGGCGGUUUUGGAUGGACUCGCGGCUUAUCAGCUUGUUGGUGGGGUAGUGGCUUACCAAGGCUUUGACGGGUAGCCGGCCUGAGAGGGCGACCGGCCACAUUGGGACUGAGAUACGGCCCAGACUCCUACGGGAGGCAGCAGUGGGGAAUAUUGCACAAUGGGCGGAAGCCUGAUGCAGCAACGCCGCGGGCGGGAGGACGGACUUCGGGUUGUAAACCGCUUUCAGCAGGGGCGAAGCUUGUGGUGACGGUACCUGCAGAAGAAGCACCGGCUAACUACGUG